Molecule: non-coding RNA, 45 nt
Filed under: Aurantiochytrium limacinum
Lineage: Eukaryota; Bigyra; Thraustochytrida; Thraustochytriidae
Source: RNAcentral
AUGGAACAGGAAUUGCAAUGUUUUUUUUUUUUUUUUUUUUUUUUU